CUGAGCGUAGCCGGUGAAACCCAGGGAACUACGUUGACAUCGUAGGGGUCACAGGUUCAAUCCCUGUCGCGCCCACCA
RNAcentral lists this transfer RNA (78 nucleotides) under Elstera litoralis. RNAcentral describes it as "tRNA-Val". Lineage: Bacteria; Pseudomonadati; Pseudomonadota; Alphaproteobacteria; Rhodospirillales; Rhodospirillaceae. The record is from RNAcentral.